AAAUGAAUAGACGGGGGCCCGCACAAGCGGUGGAGUAUGUGGUUUAAUUCGAUGCAACGCGAAGAACCUUACCUGGGUUUGAACUGCUGGGGACCGCCUCAGAGAUGAGGUUUUCCCUUCGGGGACUCCAGUAGAGGUGCUGCAUGGCUGUCGUCAGCUCGUGCCGUGAGGUGUUGGGUUAAGUCCCGCAACGAGCGCAACCCUUGUUCCUAGUUGCCAGCGGUUCGGCCGGGGACUCUAGGAAGACUGCCGGUGACAAACCGGAGGAAGGUGGGGAUGACGUCAAGUCAUCAUGGCCUCUAUGUCCAGGGCUACACACGUACUACAAUGGUCGGUACAAAGGGCUGCGAACCCGCGAGGGGGAGCCAAUCCCAAAAACCCGGCCUCAGUUCGGAUUGCAGUCUGCAACUCGACUGCAUGAAGGUGGAAUCGCUAGUAAUCGCGCAUCAGCAUGGCGCGGUGAAUACGUUCCCGGGCCUUGUACACACCGCCCGU
This 495-nucleotide ribosomal RNA is filed under the name uncultured bacterium. RNAcentral's name for it is "bacterial SSU rRNA". It matches the Rfam family "Bacterial small subunit ribosomal RNA", at positions 903 to 1397 of the family's 1533-position model. The record is from RNAcentral.